GUGCUCGCUUCAGCAGCACAUAUACUAAAAUUGGAAAAACGAUACAGAGAAGAUUAGCAUGGCCCCUGCACAGGGAUGACACUCAAAUUCGUGAAACGUUCCAUAAAACA
RNAcentral lists this small nuclear RNA (110 nucleotides) under Saimiri boliviensis boliviensis (Bolivian squirrel monkey). The record is from RNAcentral. Lineage: Eukaryota; Metazoa; Chordata; Mammalia; Primates; Cebidae.